Molecule: ribosomal RNA, 419 nt
Filed under: uncultured bacterium
Lineage: Bacteria
Description: bacterial SSU rRNA
Rfam family: Bacterial small subunit ribosomal RNA
Source: RNAcentral
UAAGGAAUAUUGCUCAAUGGGAGAAAUCCUGAAGCAGCAACGCCGCGUGGAGGAUGAAGGGUCUAUGACUUGUAAACUCCUGUAAAGAAGGAAAAAAUUCCCAUUAGAUGGGAGAUGAUGGUACUUCUGGAGUAAGCCCCGGCUAACUACGUGCCAGCAGCCGCGGUAAUACGUAGGGGGCAAGCGUUGUCCGGAUUUACUGGGUGUAAAGGGUGCUCAGGCGGAUUUGUAAGUCAGAGGUGAAAUCUUACAGCUUAACUGUGAAACUGCCUUUGAUACUGCAAGCCUAGAGUAUGGAAGAGAGUGAUGGAAUAUCUGGUGUAGCAGUGAAAUGCGUAGAUAUCAGAUAGAACACCAAUGGCGAAGGCAGUCACUUAGUCCAUUACUGACGCUAAAGCACGAAAGCGUGGGUAGCAAAC